AGCGAACGCUGGCGGCAGGCCUAACACAUGCAAGUCGAGCGCCGUAGCAAUACGGAGCGGCAGACGGGUGAGUAACGCGUGGGAACGUGCCCUUUGGUUCGGAAUAACUCAGGGAAACUUGAGCUAAUACCGGAUACGUCCGAAAGGAGAAAGAUUUAUCGCCGAAGGAUCGGCCCGCGUAAGAUUAGCUAGUUGGUGAGGUAACGGCUCACCAAGGCUAUGAUCUUUAGCUGGUCUGAGAGGACGAUCAGCCACACUGGGACUGAGACACGGCCCAGACUCCUACGGGAGGCAGCAGUGGGGAAUAUUGGACAAUGGGCGCAAGCCUGAUCCAGCCAUGCCGCGUGAGUGAUGAAGGCCUUAGGGUUGUAAAGCUCUUUUGGCAGGGACGAUAAUGACUGUACCUGCAGAAUAAGCCCCGGCCAACUUCGUGCCAGCAGCCGCGGUAAUACGAAGGGGGCUAGCGUUGCUCGGAAUCACUGGGCGUAAAGCGCACGUAGGCGGGUCGUUAAGUCGGGGGUGAAAUCCUGGAGCUCAACUCCAGAACUGCCUUCGAUACUGGCGAUCUUGGAGUCCGGGAGAGGUGGGUGGAACUGCGAGUGUAGAGGU
This 609-nucleotide ribosomal RNA is filed under the name uncultured Pseudomonadota bacterium. Its description in RNAcentral is "bacterial SSU rRNA". It matches the Rfam family "Bacterial small subunit ribosomal RNA", at positions 28 to 682 of the family's 1533-position model. The record is from RNAcentral. Lineage: Bacteria; Pseudomonadati; Pseudomonadota.